UACGUAGGGUGCGAGCGUUAAUCGGAAUUACUGGGCGUAAAGCGUGCGCAGGCGGUUAUGUAAGACAGAUGUGAAAUGCCCGGGCUUAACCUGGGAACUGCAUUUGUGACUGCAUGGCUAGAGUUUGGCAGAGGGGGGUGGAAUUCCACGUGUAGCAGUGAAAUGCGUAGAGAUGUGGAGGAACACCGAUGGCGAAGGCAGCCCCCUGGGUUAACACUGACGCUCAGGCACGAAAGCGUGGGGAGCAAACAGG
This 253-nucleotide ribosomal RNA is filed under the name uncultured bacterium. Its description in RNAcentral is "partial 16S ribosomal RNA". It matches the Rfam family "Bacterial small subunit ribosomal RNA", at positions 524 to 776 of the family's 1533-position model. The record is from RNAcentral.